UCCAAGUGCAGAUACAAGAAUGUGGAGUGCAAUUAUUGUCACAAAAUGGGGCACAUACAGAGGAACUGCUUCAUAUGGAAAAGGGGGAGCAAAAACAAUAACAGUAAGUAGAGAGAUAAGAAUCAUGAUGAUGAUGACCGUGUUACUACUGCUACUUGUGAUGAUCUGAUUAUUCUCAGUGACUAUGACUCAGUCAAUCUUGUAUC
RNAcentral lists this long non-coding RNA (206 nucleotides) under Cicer arietinum (chickpea). RNAcentral describes it as "long non-coding RNA (CARI_LNC002731)". The record is from RNAcentral. Lineage: Eukaryota; Viridiplantae; Streptophyta; Magnoliopsida; Fabales; Fabaceae.